AACGUAGGUACCGAGCGUUAUCCGGAUUUACUGGGCGUAAAGCGCGUUCAGGCGGUUUGACAAGUCGGGCAUGAAAUCCUUCGGCUCAACCGGGGGAGGUUGUCCGAUACUGUGAGACUAGAGGGCAGUAGAGGGUGGUGGAAUUCCGGGUGUAGUGGUGAAAUGCGUAGAGAGCCGGAGGAACACCAGUGGCGAAAGCGGCCACCUGGACUGCACCUGACGCUAAAACGCGAAAGCUAGGGGAGCGAACGGG
Molecule: ribosomal RNA, 253 nt
Filed under: uncultured bacterium
Lineage: Bacteria
Description: partial 16S ribosomal RNA
Rfam family: Bacterial small subunit ribosomal RNA
Source: RNAcentral